Molecule: unclassified non-coding RNA, 413 nt
Filed under: soil metagenome
Description: partial contains 5.8S ribosomal RNA, internal transcribed spacer 2, and large subunit ribosomal RNA
Rfam family: 5.8S ribosomal RNA (bases 1-120)
Source: RNAcentral
GAUGAAGAACGUAGCGAAAUGCGAUAAGUAAUGUGAAUUGCAGAAUUCAGUGAAUCAUCGAAUCUUUGAACGCACCUUGCGCUCUUUGGUAUUCCGAAGAGCAUGCCUGUUUGAGUGUCAUGAAAAUAUCAACCUUGACUUGGGUUUUGUGCUCUAGUCUCGGCUUGGAAUUGGGUGCUUGCCGCUUUUACGAGCGGCUCACCUUAAAUGUAUUAGCUGGAUCUGUCUUUGAGACUUGGUUUGACUUGGCGUAAUAAGUAUUUCGCUAAGGACAUUCUUCGGAGUGGCCUCGUUUCUAGGACGCUUGUCCGCUUUCCACUACAAGUUCCACCUCGUGGACAUGACUUUUUAUUAUCUGGCCUCAAAUCAGGUAGGACUACCCGCUGAACUUAAGCAUAUCAAUAAGCGGAGGA